Molecule: transfer RNA, 64 nt
Filed under: Cavia porcellus (domestic guinea pig)
Lineage: Eukaryota; Metazoa; Chordata; Mammalia; Rodentia; Caviidae
Rfam family: tRNA
About the family: Transfer RNA (tRNA) molecules are approximately 80 nucleotides in length. Their secondary structure includes four short double-helical elements and three loops (D, anti-codon, and T loops).
Source: Rfam by way of RNAcentral
AGGGAUUUAGCUAAGCAGCCUAAGCUCCUGCCUGGUAAGCAUGAGGUCAUGAGUUCAAUCCCUA